This 15210-nucleotide long non-coding RNA is filed under the name Triticum aestivum (bread wheat). RNAcentral's name for it is "long non-coding RNA (TAES_LNC024643)". The record is from RNAcentral. Lineage: Eukaryota; Viridiplantae; Streptophyta; Magnoliopsida; Poales; Poaceae.
AUGCUAUAUCUAUUCUUCUGCUUCAUGUGCAUGGCUAGCUAGCCUGUCAAAAUUAAUUCAGAUCUUCUCUCAAAAUUAAUAAUUCAAAUCUGCAUGAUCGAAAUGCAUGCAUGCGCCAAGUUAAAUUUUAAUCUCAAGAUGCAAUGAAGAUCAACUAGAAAUUACUAGUACGUAUUAUGCUGGUUGGUCAUGUCAUGCAUGAACAUGUGUACAGAUGCUAGUGAUGGGGAAAGGGAUGGCGCCUGUGGUGCCUCCGGAGCUGCAGCAGUACAUGCACUACAUCACCACGGAUCCCGCUGCCCAGUUGAUGCAGAUGCCUCCCUCGGAGCCGCCGCAGCCGUUCCAGAUCACGCACGCCAACCCACCGCAGCGGGAGUCGGAUUUCCUCAGCCAGAUGCAGAACCACCUGCACCCCUCCGACCAGCCUCAGAUCAACUUCCUCAGGCCGCCUAAACUGCAGCUCUACACCCCGGUAUGUGUAUAUGUGCUCCCUGAAUAUACAUGUUUUAUGCUGAUUGAUUCAUGCUUAUGUCAAUUGUUAAGUACAGUAAUCGGAAAGUUGAAUGGCAUUACUACUCAUAGUCAUAAUGCAUGACUGGCUGAUGAGAGGAAUUAUUAUCCAUUGAUCCGUAAUGCAUUCAUGCAGGAACAGAGGGGAGUUGUAGGCAGCAGCAGUGGGCACAACGGCGGCUGGAUCCCGGAGAGGAAUUCCUCCUACAACUUUAUGGAGUGAUGAGCAUCGUCUGCGUGAGCCACUGAUGAAGAGAUCAAUUGUAAGCAGUUUGCUAGCUAGUCUGAGAGAUUGUUUCUCGUCUAUGAGAAGUACCCAAGGGGAGUGAUGAAUGUGAUGUACGUAGUUAACUUGCUAGAUGUGUUUAAUUUCAUCAAAUAAAAGAGGCUGUGUGAUCUUGCUUGCUCCGAGCUUUCCUCAUCUCCGGCAUCUUGCCUGCGUGCAUGAUUGGGCUAAUUAACAGAGCUUUUUUAUGUGUUAUAACCUCUAUGAGCAAACAUGGCUAUCACAGGCAGGGAUAGCAUGCAAUCGUUGCAUUUUUUGAUCCAAUUAAUCUUCAGCAAGGAGAUGAGAGUUAUCAGGAGACAUGCUUCUCUGCAACCUAACAUGCUUUUGCCGGGAAUUCAAAAGACACAUCACACAUGCAUCUACAUCUGAGACUGUAGAGUCACAAUUCAAAGCCAGCAUGUGCAUUCGUGUGCUUUGCGUUCAUGGACUAGAUACUAGAUAGCAUACUUUUGUAUGCAUCCAAGGAUUGACCCCACAAUUUCACCGAAUCUUUCAGCUUCCAUUCUUCUGCAAGCCUGCGGGUACAGGUAUGUUGCAGCGCUAAAGUUGAGGGUCAUGUAAGCAGAACCUUUGGCACCACUCCAGGCCCAUGCCGUCAGGUAGCAUGGGCAAGAUUGAUACCAGUGUACUGUUCCAGGCCCAAAUAUGUCAGCACUAAUGUUGUAUGCUCCUGCUAUUUAUUGGCCGUAGCUUCAAAAGAAAAAAAAGUAAGUCGGUUCUAGUUGCACAUUUUUUUCUUUGAAAACUUAAAUAUGCAACUUCAGUAAAGAAAACGGAUUUGCUUCUUGGCAGCUUAGCAUUGCAAUUUCUCGGUUGGCCAACAAAACCGGUCGAUCUGAGCUAGAAGUGCAUGCAUUUUUUUUUCUAGAGUGUCGAUCUUGCUUUAUUAAUUCAUUGAUGAAAGUACACUAGAUAGUAAUAAUUGAAAUGAACAUUCACAACGAAUAUCCUCGAUAAAACCAAAAGAGCUCCAUCAAUUAUCUUCAGAGUCAACGUUACUAGAUCAGCCCUUCGUAUUGUUCAUCCAUGUAUGUGGUGACCAAAACUACAGAUAACCAAGCAUGCAAUCGUUAUGGAUUUUGAAAAAGCCACAUGAUUUGCCCGCCCCAAGAGGUUGGAACAUAAUAUAAGGUUGUCGAACGCACUAUGGCCAAGGACAUGAUUUUUCAUAUGAAAAACUUCUUCAUCCGAGUUCGUAUGCAAAAGUUAUGCCCAUUUUACAAAUUCCAGAGAGAUUUUGCAAAUAAAGUCAAAAUUCAUAUUUGUUAAUUUUCGCAACAACUAGACCACAUAUCACAUGGGAAACUUAUUAUUUUUUAUUUUUUUUGACAUUUUCAUCAUUUUCUUUUCUUUUUUCUAAAACUGAAAAGGCGGUCGGGGGGUGUAGAGUUUGAAAAUGGGACCUUUAGUACCGGUUCGUGCCAUGAACCGGUACUAAUGCCUCAAAGCCCAUUAGUACCAGUUGGUGCCACCAACCGGGACUAAUGGCAUCGUACCCUUUAGUCCCGGUUCGUGGCACCAACCGGGACUAUAGGGCACAGGUGAACCGGGACUACUGCCUUAGCCGCACGAACCGGGACUAAUGCGUGACUGAACCGGGACUAAUGUGAAUACUGCCCUGUGACCAAAGCCCUGUUUUCUACUAGUGCUUCGCACGUCAUCCGGACGUUUGCGGGGCGAUAUUGGAGCUUCAGGCCGGUCGAGCAUCCACGAAUCGGAGGACAAAACUCCCGAUCGACACCACGUCGCACGUCGAUGGAGGUACGUAAGGUACGUGCUUUACCAGCCUAGCUACGGUUUUUUGUUUCAUUCAUUCAUCAAGCUUUUUCAGGGGACCCGACGCGAUGGACUCUGCAGGCCACGCGCGCCCUGGCCCUGCACACAGUUCACGCCAUGGACCUGCCCUGUACGCCCUGCACGCGUGCGAUGUCUGGAUGGAUGCCGCCCACGCGCCGCGCCCAGAAGCCUGGCGAACGAGGUGGGCUCACGGAACAUGCAUGCCGGCACGCACACGUACGCAGCAGCACUGUGCAACCAUACCACACAUGCGCCGCGACUGUGUGCAGCCUGUGCAGCUACCUAGAUGCUACCCCAUGCUAGCUACACGUCCUACUCCCAUAGGCCUCGAGUCUCGACCUGAUUCUCGCUGCAUCGAACGAUCUGGGCCUGGGCGGCCUACGAAAGCAAAGCAGCAGAAUGGAGGUGACUGGCGCCUUUGUUCCCUAGCUCGCUCGCGCGCUCGCUGCGGCUUCCAUGCCCGCCAGCCAGGCCGGCCGGCAUGGGCGCUCCUUGGACGGCGCCUCGUCCAUCGAUCCAUCCAUCCGGUCAUGGCCGGUCGUUUGAAGAUUCGAUCAUGCGAUUGCGGUAUUUUACUCCCUUCUAUGCUAUGACGCACCCAGCCGCGCUGCGCUGCCCGUGUUCUGCGGGGAAGAAGAUGCAUGGGCUUCUGGCUCUGAUUCCGAGGGCUGGUUCCAUAAACAACACGCUCGGCUCGAUCAUGCAUGGGCUGCUGGUUAGCUUCCUCCUCCAUCACUUGCUGCUUACAAUUUGCUAGCCAAUCUGUUUCAAAAAAUAAUUUGCUAGUCACAUCACAUUCCAUGUCACACUGAAUCCUAAUUUCGAUGCACAUGAGCAGCCAAUAGAGAAUCCAGGCCAGAUAUUAUUGAGCAAUUAAUCAUGUACAUGUACAUUUUUUUUUUUGAACGGUCACCGGGGGGAGAGCUUCCCCACCUGAAUAUAUUACCACUCAAAGGGUUCAGGGGAAUACAGGCAAGUUAUUGUUACAAGUUCAGCUGGAGGGAAUUGCAGAGGAGAGAAAAUUUAGCCACUGUCUAGCCGAAGCCCUGUCCUCAUUUUUUUUUAACCGGAAAACCCAGAGAGAGAAGUCUGCUACAAUAUUUCUUAGCGUUAAUCUGUGAGAGUGGUCCUCGUUCCUGAACACGAGAGCAUUUCUUGAGUCCCAGAGCUUCCAAGUUAUGGUGAGGGCCACCGAUGGCCAGAUGUUGGGGUUGAGGCCCUGAAUCGGUGGGUGUUGGUGAAGAGCAGUGAGAGAUGUCGGAGCAGACAGGCCCAUGCUGGACCAAACUUGUGUAGCAUAGGAGCAGGUGGAGAUGAGGUGAAGAGCAUCCUCAUAUGGGUCUUGACAUCGAGGGCACACCGCGGAUUGAGCCACAUUUUUGUGAAACAUGUUGGCCUUCGUAUUUAGCCGAUCGCGGAGGAGAAGCCAAGCGAAAAUCUUGACUUUGAUCGGAACCUUAGAGGCCCAAACAAAAUCAUGGUGGGGAUCGAAGGAGUCAUCAGCAACAAUGGAAGAGUAAGCGUGCUUGGCAGAGAAAGCAAGCCCAUGCGUGAGGGACCGCUCGUCUGGAAAUCCUGCAACAACAACAACAGACAGUCCAACUCUCGAGCAGCAGCAUUAGUAAGACGGUUCCGCAGGUUCGAUAAUAAGCUGGUUUGCCAAACUGUAGCCACUAGAACCUUGUCAUCUAUGGAGUGGGAGUAUAGGUUGGGGAAAGCUUUUUUUAGAGGUGAGUCAAGAAGCCAUUUAUCUAGCCAAAAGAAAGUGGAGAGGCCGUUGUAGGUAAUCACGAAGGAGUGCUCAAUUAGGAGAGGCAGGUUUUUGUUUAUAAUCUUCCAAAGGAAAGAAGGCCUGGGGUUUUUAGUUGCAAUCCCAAUUGGGUAUUGUUGAUGAUACCACUGGUUCCAGGGGAUGUUUGGGUGUUGCAAAAUUUUGAAGGAAAAUUUCAUAAGUAGGCCGCAGUUCUGAAUUUCAAGAUUUUUAAUGCCUAGACCACCCAGUUCUUUAGGCCUGCAAACGUUUUUCCACGCGACCAGACACUUUGCACUCGUGCAAGUUUCUUCGUUGGACCAGAAAAAAGCUCUCCGGAUGGCGUCUAGCUUAACUAGGAUAGACUUCGGUAGGCGAAAAACGGACAUGAAGUAAAUAGUUAAGGAAUCGAGGACAGCAGUGCGCAAGGUUAGUCUUGCUCCACGAGAGAGCAGACGCGCAACCCAUCCGAAAAGGAGUUUUCGAAAGCUAUCUAGUAUAGGGUCGAAAGCUGAGAGUGGUAGUUUGAGAGGGGAGAGAGGGAGGCCUAGGUAGAUUAACGGGAAGGAGGAGAGAUUGCAUCCAAUAGUUGCAGCGAUGUUGUUUUGGGUGAGGUCAUCUGUGGCAAUGGUGAGAAGCGAGGUUUUUUGGAAGUUGAUGACUAGGCCAGUUGCUAGGGCGAAAUCAUGCAGAGUGUUUUUGAGAAUAGUGGUUGCUGCGACGCUGGCAGCAGCAAUAAUAAGUGUGUCAUCGGCGUACUGUAGGGUUACGGGUGGUUCAUUCGAACGGAGGGGGUGGCAUAGUUCGUUUUGCCUGAAAGCCUGUGCGAUCAGUCUUUGAAGGACAUCUGCGACGAUGAUGAAUAAAUACGGCGAAAAGGGAUCACCUUGUCGAAGGCCAGCUCUACAUUGGAUCCAGGAUCCCGGAGUGCUGUUGAGGAGAAUAGCCGUUUUGCCAGUGUGGAGAAUGUUUUGGACCCAUGCACAGAAGAUAGGAGGGAAACCUCUCGCUUGUAGGAUCGAUGUUAGAGAGGACCAAGAAAUGGAGUCAAAAGCUUUUCUGAAGUCCAGCUUGAUGACUAUGGUGGGGGCCUUUCUUGUGUGGCAAGCGCUGAGAAUAUCAGCAGCGUACAUAAAAUUUUCUGCAAUGUUGCGGCCAUGAAGAAAUCCUGUUUGGUCGUAGUGAAUGAGUAGAGGGAUGAGUGGUUUGACCCUGUUUGUAAGAACUUUGGCCACCGCUUUUGGGGUACAGUUUUGCAGAGAGAUUGGUCUAAAUGCAUCGGGGAGGUUGGGGCUAUUGUUUUUGGAAUGAGGACCAUGUAUGCUCGGUUAAAUCGAUCGAGGGAAGCUGUUUGAUCAUGGAAAGCAGCAAAGAACGUGAGGAUGGAGUGUUUGAUUUUGUGCCAAUAUUUUCUAAAGAAAAUAGGGCCAAAUCUGUCUGGUCUAGGGCUAGCGUUUGUGUUCAUGGAGAGAAAGGCUUGAUGAAUUUCCUCCUGGGAGAACGGAUUAGCAAGAUCACGUAGCUGGGGAAGAGUUGCCGGAUAUAGCUGUAGUAAGUUGAAGUUCCAGGUUGCAUUUUUUGUGGUACCGAUGAGUUUUUGGAAGUAAUUUUUUAGGAUUGCUGCUUUGUGUUCGUGCAGGAAGAUUUCAGAGUCAUUGUGGAUGAGCAACGGGAUUUUAUUUGAGCGAGAUCGUUGUGUGGCAGAGGUGUGGAAGAACUUGGUGUUUUCAUCGCCGUCGACGGCCCCUCUGAUCUUACCCCUCUGUUUCUAGAAGGAAAAUUUCUGUUUAAUAGCAGCUUGUAACAGAUUUGAAAUUGUGAGCCUAAGCUUUAUUUCCAGAAGGGAGAGGGGGGCAAGUUCCUCGUUAAGGUCAAGGGCUAGAAUUGCAAGUUUGCAAUUUGCCUCCCGUUGGUAGAUGGGCCUAAGAGUUUUGGCCCAAGAUUUGAGGGCUGACCGUGUUUUUUUUUCAGAUUUUGAGCCAGAGAAGUCGCGGGGUCCAGUAUCGGCCCAUUGUGGUUUUGAUCAAUGGGCAGCCAAGUGGUUUGCACUAUGGUUUUGCAGGCCUGGAGGGAGGUCCAGUAACGUUCAAAGUGAAAAAGGCAGGAGGAGGGAAUAGAUGUGGACACCGUAACCAGUAGCGGAACGUGAUCGGAGGCAAAACGAGUGAGAGAGGUUAGGUGGGUGUUGGGAAAGAGCGCAUCCCAGGCGAGGUUAAUAAGAACCCUAUCUAGCCUUACAAGCGUAGGGGAUGGCCUCUUGUUUGACCACGUGAAUUGGCGAUCAAGAAGAGGGAGCUCAAUGAGAGCAAGUUGAUCAAUGGUAUCAUUGAAGGCAUCUGCUUCAGAUCAGCGAAAGUUAUUAUUGUUCUUUUCAUUGGGGAAGCGAAUCAGAUUGAAGUCACCGAUGAGGAGCCAGGGGGAUUGUGGUGGUGGUUCAGUUUGUUUAAGCUCAUCCAGGAAAUCUCUUUUGAGAUCCCUUUGCGAAGGAGCGUAGACGUUGGUGAUAUAGACGGCGUGUUGCGAGGCAAGGCAAGAGAGGGUGAGGGUGGAGCUAAAACGCCUAUGGUCACAGCUGAGAAGUGUGAAACAGCGUGAGUUAGUGGCAGAGAGAAUGCCACCCGCAGAACCGAUAGCGUCUAGAUGGUUGUUUGAGUCUAGGAAGCGUGGUAGGAUCGAGCGUAUUUUAAUGGUGUCUGGUUUGAGAAGUUUAGUUUCUUGAAAAAGAGCGAUCGAUGGGCGUAGUUGAUUAAUCUCAGAGAACACAUUAGCACAUUUAUCAUUGUCACCAAGACCUCGAACGUUCCAAGACACUAUAGAGUAGGAUUCAUUUUUCAUAAUGGAAACUUUAGCAAGCACCAUACAUAGGAUAAGCAACCCAGCAAGCGAGCAUCCAGGUACAGGAGGUAGCGGGACAAGUUGACAGAACCACGCGUGAGCACUAACAUAGCUAACUCUAACCUAACAUAGCAACUACGGUAGGGUGCGACGCACCGGAUACAUGCCCAACAAGGGCUGCCAGUAGAGUGGCAGUGGCAUACGGGAGAUGUAAUCAUGGCGAGCCCAAAACACCGGAGCCCGAAGCGAUAUCAGCCGCCACCUCCGGCGGAGCACCGCAGGCAGUAGCAAUGGCCGUGAGAUCCUCUGGCGAGGCAGGACUGCGGGCCGAGUCGUCGAUGAGUCCAUCCAUAUCGCAGAGACGAGCGUGGACAAGGGCGUCCGAGAGAUCCUUGGAAGCAGUUGAGAGGUCGAGUUUUUUCGCCUUGGAGCGCAUGGCCUUGGCAGUCAUGGAGGAGUAGUUUGGGGGCUCGAUUUCGGCCAAUCGAGCGCUGCGUCUGGCCUUAACACCAGAGUCAGCGGCCAUCUUGGUGCGCCUGCUGAUGCGCCUGACCAGACACUCAUGCGUGGGUUCAGGAGGCAGAUCGGGAGCCGGAUCGGCUACGACGACAGGCAGAGGUGGCUCAUGGAGCACCGGAGGAGAGUGGGGAGGGGACAGUGGCGGUGGUAAGGGAGCUGGAGAGGGUGGAGCUGGUAAUGCGAGCAUAGGACGGGGAGCAGUCGAUCGGACAAGCUUGCGAGCGGGAGUGGGAGUGCAUGCGGGAGGAGACCAUGGGGCAUGCACCAGCAUGGCCACAGACAUGCCAUCGGCCAUGACAGCAAGGAUAGGGAUGCCGUCCAGAGGGAGCGUAGUUGCAGGUGUUGGUGGAGGGCCCGAGGGAGAUUCGGGUGUGCAUGCGAAAGGAGACAUGGCUGCAGCGAUGGAUCGGAUCUGGUGCGUGGUGGCUGGGGACAGGCGUGGGUUGGAUAUCUGGGAGGAAAGGGAAGAGUUGUCCUCGUCAUCGGAGGAGAAAGGGGAGGCGCCCGAGCCAUGGCGGAAGAGAGUACGGCUCUCAAGCUUGACGACAACUACAUCAUUGUCAGGAAGGCGCACCAUGAGACAAGGGGGAAGGACGAAGUCGCGGGCCACCAUGACAAGAGCACGGACACUUGAGUGGUCACCCUGGAAGCAGUGCUGAUCUGCUGACACGAAGUCUCCCAGGUGUGAGAAGAAGUAAUCUGCCCCCUCAGGGUGCCAGAGCUCAUCGGGAUAGUCAAAGGCUUCGAUCUCGGCCAUGUGAAUGAAGAUGGCCAGGGAUCUGUUGUCUGCGUGCUCUGGACGCUCGAAGAAGAGGGUGUUGCCCUCGUGGUGGAUAGGGCCAUGGCCCGUGACGGCGAAACGCUCUUCAGCGUUUGCAAAGGAGAGACGCGCAGCGCCACGACCAGAGGAGGUGAGCCCGAACAUAGGGUUGUUGCGGUGGAGAGCGAUAGCCUGGCGGAUGAAGCGGAAGGGGUUGAGCAUGGGGGUGGCGAGGUGCACGUAGGAUAGGUUAUCGACCUGGCGGACGAGGCAGCUUGGCGGGACAAGUAGUGGGAUGUGGGGUGCCGGAGGAGAACGGCUAGCAGCAGACGAAGCUGUGGUAGGUGGGGAGGGGGGAGGUGGCGGGGCGAAGGACGGCGCCGGAGGAGAGGCGUUGGAGGCUCGAGGACCGAAGAUGAGAGGGAGGUGGAAAGGAGGGAGGUCGUUGGUGAGGACGCGGUGGGAGCCGAACCAGAUGGGAGCGCCGUCCGAGAGCCUGGAUCCAGCCGACGAGCCGGAGGCGGUGUGGGUGCCCGUCGUGUGCGCCAUUGAGCUGCAUGGCGGACGCACAAACGCAGGGUUAAUACGCGGAGAGGGGGGCAUAGGGGGGAAGAAAGGAAGGAAGCGGACGACUUUGCACCUGAAACUCCGGUGACCGGAGCACCAGCAGCGAGAGCAGCGGACGGGAUCACGGCAGUCGGAGAUGGUGUGGUCACUGGCGAGACACCGGAAGCAUCUUGGUUUUUGCUUUCGGCUAUAUCUGUGGUGGAUGUGUUUGGGGCUGGCCGCCCGGGGAGGGGCUGAUUUAUAGGCCGGAGAGGCCAGAGGAUGGGGGGGUCGAUUGCAGCGGCCGGAGCUGGGGAGCCGAGCAAAACCUCCCGGUAGGAGCGCGGGGUCUGCAGCGGCAUGGAGACCGAAGAGCACGCAGGGGUGGCAGGAGUGGCAGGAGCGUGGCACUGGUCCAUGGCGGUCUCGGGACGAAGCUGAGGGGACGGGGCGGUAUGUAGGCUGACGGAGGUAGGGGAGGCAGGAGGUGGAGUAGACGUGAUGAUGGGCACAUGCGUGUUCAUGCAAGCGUUGGUUGGUGCGAGCGGUGAGGGCGAGCAGGUGAGGGAGGAUGGGUCCCGCAAAUCAGCGAUAGUGGGGUAUGCUUUUGGGUCAGCGCAGGAGGUGGCAAGAUCGAGCAGCCCCGGGAGCCGACCGGGGGGCGGCUGCGGCGACGGCAGCGGGUCAAGGCAGUCAGUGGUGGAUAGAGGGCGUGGGGGCGGAUGGUCUAGCGUUUUAGGGUUUAAAGAACUGGGUAGGCUGGGAGGGGAGGGGGAGGGGACGGCGCAGUCUGCACCCAGUUUUUGUUUUCUUUCGUUGGAAAGGUUUCAGGGAGACGUGACGGGAGAGGCCAAGCUGGCCUAGAGGUCCACGUGUCCCAGGCCAUCGAGUGGAUUUUGGUCAACCGGGGACGAUGCAGUAGAAUCCUCGCCUAGAACAGUGAGAUGAAUCCCCGGGUUGAGAGGGGAUAGAUUUUGUGUGUUUAUUCUAGUUGACGGGUGCGGUCCAAGCAAGGACGUGGAGUGGGUAGGCUGGACGUUGUGAGACGGGUCAAAUGAGUCCGGUUCGAACACAGUUGGCAAUGGUACUGAUCGCACUGUUUGUGAUGCAUGGUCAAAAGAGUCAAAGAGCAGGAUUUUGAAAUUUGAAAACUCUAGUGGCGCGCAACGGAGAACCUCUCUUCUGACCAAGACUGAUAACACAUGCACUAAGAACAGGUUCGGAGCAAGCGUGGUUGCGUGGAAGACACAUUUAAAGGAGAACUGGUGGUCUAAGGCAUUAUUAAUCAGUGUUUCAUUAGCGCAAACCGAGCCAGAGUGGAAGACAACCCAUAUAGGGGUGGCUGGUUUAUGUGUGAGGCAUGUAGUGGGCGUGGUGACAAGGCAGUGGUACUUAGAAAAAAUCAGCUUAUUAAACGAGAUCCCAGGAUGGAACGGUCGUACCUUUGCAUGUGAACGCGAGAGGCUGAGUGUUGGGGAGGUCACAGGAGCCCCAAGAGGCGGACGACCGUUGGCGGUUGCAGGCCCCACAUGCAUGGAGGCCAUGCACGGAGGAGAGGCUGGUGACGGAGCGGCAGCAGGUUGAGGUGGCACACCCGCAAGCAGGAGCGGCGAGGCCACCGGAGAUGGGGGCGGGGCCGGCAUCGCAAGCGGCGCGACCGUGACCGUGGCGAACAUGCGAGGAGCAGCGAUCGGCGAGCAGGCGGCCAUGAGUGACGCAACGUGGUAAGACGAUACCGACGCUGUGAACGCCGCGUGGGAUAGGCGUGUGAUGGAAAUGCUUCGCGGAGAUCCACCAAAACGGAAUGAGAGUAACACGGCGAUGAGCGGUUCGUCAACCAUGAAGUUAGCUUUGUGGACGAAGAAGAUUAUCCUAGUGGGUGAGGAGGAGUCUUGUGGCGAAGAGAAGACCUUGGUGGAGAACAGAUCGAAGAUGUUGCGAGAGAAAUCGAUGCCGAGCGAGGGAACGAACCCAAGUUGAGAGCGCAGGAAGGCAUCCGCAUGGCCAAAGCGGUCGCCGAUGUCCAAGGUUGUUUGGAUGUUGGCGGGUGGGUCAUGAGUUUGUUGGGGCGGAGGAAAAGGCAGAAACUGGAUCGAGUGGGUGGUGGCGACGAGCACGGGCUCGGCGAGGAGAGCGCGAACGAUGCGCACGUCGGAGACAGAGAUUCGGAAGAGGUUGUCUUGGAGGCGAGUCACCUGGAAGGCAGGAGCGUUGCCACCCAGACAGGCUUGCAUGAGGACGGCAACGAGCUCCUCAUCGAGGUCGAGUGAGGAGUGGCGAACUUGCAUGGAGAGGAAGCAUGGUGGCUCGUGGUGGCGCGGGUUGAUGUGCUUGGAGAGGCAGCGCCAGACCUGCGCUUGGAAGUCGUCACCCAUGGCGUCCCCAACUCCAAGAGCCAUGCGCAAGGCUCGGGAGGUGGGGAAGACAUGCCAUGGAAUGGGAUCGUGGAAGGAGGCCGGGGCAACUGGUGCGGACGAUGGUGCUGGAGAGUGGACGGCGGCCGCGAUGGCCGGAGGUGUGGGCUGGGUGGAGCUGGGAGCGGCCGAGGGGCCGCAGGGGAGGAGAGGAGGAGGAGACAUCCACAAACUCAUUGCUAUCGCCACAUGUACAUAUAUAUACUCCCUACGGUCGGGUUUGCAGGUCCGCGCAAGUUUCUUGGUCCUCAAUUUGACUAACAAAAAGGUGUUAUAUACCGUCAAAACUCAAAAACAUAUCAUUAGGUUCAUAUAUUUGAAAAAAGUUUCUAAACGUAUGAUUUCGAGCCGAUUUAUGUGUGCAUCAGGCGAUCCAUAGGCCUGAGGUGUUUUUCUCUUUUUGAAGAAAAAGUGGUGUCAUAUAACCCAUUUUUGUUGAAACACCAAACUACAAUGCAGACGCGCAGGCACGUGUGGAAACGUUGCUUUCCACUUGAAGAAUAAUCCACGUUAAUGAGACAUCAAAGUGUUUCCCUGAUGGACCGGGGAUGCCAUCACCUUUCUAACCAUCAAACCAGUGGUUGGUUCUUGCAUGUGUUUUUUCAUUCCAGUAAAUCAAUGAUGCAAAUAUUAAGCCAGCAGCAGGCAGAUCAACUUAUGGAUCAUCAUGAAUAUUGCGCAAGUUCUCAAUCAUAACGUACUUAUGAUAUGUAGUGGCAGUGUAUCCACUUGCUGCAUUGUCCUGAAUUCUUAUUGUCAUCUCGUGUAGAUUCUUACCGUGGAAAGGAACAGAGAUACUACUUCUUCUCUCCCAGGUUUAUGCUACGAAGAGGAGUUGGCAAUGUUUGGGUGACUUGGUACUCGAAACAUGAAGGCGAAAGGAAUAGGAAUGGUUGGACGGUUUAAGGUGUCUUAGCCGGGAGGCUCCUUGUCCAUAAGGACCCGAUCUUCUCAAGCAUUUUUUAUAGAUCCAUGAUCAAGGGCUUCAGCUCGAAACAUGAUAUAAAAAUGAUCAUAGCAUAACCAAAUUUGACACUUUUAUCACCACCAUGACAAUAAUCAUUGUUGUAGUGCUUACACCACGAGCCAUUAACCGUACCUAAGAUGGGUUGGCUAAGCAAACUGACCACAGAAAGGUUGUUAGUCUGAGGCAGACGAUGACCUGCCAUGGAAAAGGGGUACCAAUCCAUGAUCUCUAAGCACGACGGUGGGAAAUAUGUCUCGGAUAGCCAAGUUAGGCCCACCUUGGGUUUUGUGUACUAGUCAGCAAAUCUUAGCUAUGUAUGGUUUUUAGUUAUAUGUUUGGUUCAUUGCUACAACUAUCACUUGGCACACUUAAUUUCUUAUCCCUGUGAACUACAUGUAGCAGAUUCAUAUCUUUGCAAAUGCUUGUACCAUGUUGUGGUAGUUGUUUUCUUCUUCACACUUUCUGUCGCAACCACAAUGUUGCUAGAUAGUGGAAGAUAUAUCUCUUCCGACCUUUGAAUUAUCGCUGAGCCUGCUGCCAGGGUUCAUGUUCUCAGUCUUGUCUUGGUUUCCCAAGGCCCUUGGAGGGUGUUGGCGGUGCGGCUCAAAGUGACGGCACCAUUAGCCAACAUGGUUAGUGUACAUCCGUUGUCUCGACAAAGUGAAGAACCUCGGCGCCGGAUAGUCUAUGGUGUGUGAGUGCUUACAGUUAUUCCUCUUGACAAUUGAGCAAGUGUGUGUCAUUUGUUAUAAUAUGUGUUGUCUCGGUAGUUUGAUGCUUCCGGGGUGCUCCCCCGCCCGACAUUGCUACAGAUUGUCUAUGGUGGAUGUUGUGUUUUGCUGCCUCGGUAGUGUUUCAUGAUGUGUGCACUUGAUGUUGCAUUUCCUACUCUAGUUUGUUUUCGUGCUUUUUUUAUUUAUCCUCUUCUUUUUUAGUCCGUGUACUUUUGGUUCGCUCGAACCCAUCUUCUAGUACCAGCCAUUGAUCAAUCACAUUACCUAGUUUCAUAAGGCAUUGAUCAGUUACAUUACAUGUCAUAAUUUCAUUCGAUAUCUCAUCAUUUGUUAUUGCCCCUUAAACCCCUUCCGCUCCGCAAACUCCUGCAUAUAUACUUUUCUUUGGCGAACCAUGCAUGCUACACAUAAACCCAUACGACAUUGCUACUAUCUAAUACCUAGAGAAGAAAUGACACCCAUAUCUCUCCGGGUAUUUUGCACAAGCUGGCGAGUGCUCUAAAGAAUUCAUGCUGACGAACCCUUGUAUUGCAAGCCCAGUUUGAGCCAUGCCCUAGCAAGGCCGUAGAUGAAAUGAUUGACCACAUGGGCGCCCUACAAAAUUGCAAACAUCCCAUCAGAGACCCCGAUGCAGCUGACGAUUACUCCAUACCGACGGACCAAGUGACCAGAAAUUCCACACGGCCGGUGGAAAAAGAUGAGGAGAUGUCGACACGCACAGUGCUCACUCGCCACUAGCCACUCGAUCAGUCGUUGCCAUGACGCAAAAGCUUAUAAAAUCAGAUGCCACAAGACCAUAAAUACCAUGCCGGCCUGGACCAAAGGUUGGUGCAGGGUCGAAGAGACCAUCAACCAGGUCGCCUGACCAUGAAAGGGUCCCUGAGUCUCCAUCCUCUCUAGCCUGCCUAGGGCUGGACCAGUUUGGCACUGCUAGAUAUUAGCUAGCUAGCAUCGGUUCAUAAGGGGGUGUGAAGGCCAGAGGGAGCCCAGGCCAGCAAGGAGACCUCAGAUACCAAGAAGAACGGUAUGCAUGGCUGGCUGAAAGCUUUUGUUCUUAGCUACUCUUCGUUCGUAGAUCUUGUUCGAUUGUUUCUUUAUACCUAGCUGGUGGCAGGAAGGUGAAGAGGCUCAUCAAGAUCGCUGAUGGAAGACGGCAGGGCUUUGAGGAGGAUGUCUAUCCCUACCCGCAGAAGCAGAUCUGCCGAUUUCCACAAUUUUUCAGAAAGGGUAGGUUGUUGUCAUGCAUGCAUAUCGACGGAUCACACAUCGCCGGAGCCGAUGCCACUAAUUAGCAUUUCGAGUUCCUGAGCUUGAUUUCUGUUUGGGUUAUUUGUAGAGGAGACGGGAUAAGAUCAACGAGAAGCUCAAGGCACUGCAAGAGCUACUUCCAAACUGCACCAAGGUCCACGUAAUGAACAUGCCCCAUCUUAAGGAUCUUCUAGCAUAGUAUAUAUUUCUCCUCUCUUGCUGACCGAGCAAUUCCCCUGACAUGUGCUCUCCUUACUGAUUUAGACGGACAAGGUGUCGAUGCUAGACGAAGUGAUCGACUACCUGAAAUCGCUCCAGCUGCAACUCCAGGUAUUUUUAAAAACUGGAGCCCCAUCAUAUACCAUAUGAUCGAGUUUAUUAUGCAUCAUGUUCUUUUAUAUGCUAUAUCUAUUCUUCUGCUUCAUGUGCAUGGCUAGCUAGCCUGUCAAAAUUAAUUCAGAUCUUCUCUCAAAAUUAAUAAUUCAAAUCUGCAUGAUCGAAAUGCAUGCAUGCGCCAAGUUAAAUUUUAAUCUCAAGAUGCAAUGAAGAUCAACUAGAAAUUACUAGUACACAUUAUGCUGGUUGGUCAUGUCAUGCAUGAACAUGUGUACAGAUGCUAGUGAUGGGGAAAGGGAUGGCGCAUGUGGUGCCUCCGGAGCUGCAGCAGUACAUGCACUACAUCACCACGGAUCCCGCUGCCCAGUUGAUGCAGAUGCCUCCCUCGGAGCCGCCGCAGCCGUUCCAGAUCACGCACGCCAACCCACCGCAGCGGGAGUCUGAUUUCCUCAGCCAGAUGCAGAACCACCUGCACCCCUCCGACCAGCCUCAGAUCAACUUCCUC